UAGCUGCCCUCUCUCCUUGCUCAGCGCUGUGCAAACAAUAAAAGUCCUACUUUCUUCCACCACACCCGGUGUCAGAGAUUGGUUUGCUGCGCAACGGGUGAGUGAACUCACUUCAGGUUUGGUAACAAUUGGGCGACCCAGAUGGGACUGUGUCCUAGGUGGAUGUCUGGCCUGUGGCACACCAGCCUCUGGCUAAAGGCCUCUCUUGGAAACUGUCCUGCAGCUGCCUGAGCCCCUUGUCUCAGGGACAGCCCCAAGUGGCUGGCUGCUAGCCAGACGUCGUUGGCCCACGGCGCUUUUGCUUUGGUGGUGGAAGAAACUAGGUUUAGGACUUAGGAAGACGUCUCUUGACACAAUUGGAAACACUGGUUAUAUUACCAAGGCUUUGACUGGAACAUCAUAUUUGAAAAAACAUACAGGCUUGGAUAUAACAAGACAGCUUUUUGAGGAAUGAAGGUUGACAUUCUGGAGUAAAGCCACUUGGAAAUAUUGGCCUGAAAAACUUCUUAAUAAAUACCUGGUUACUUACUUACAUGAUACAGGCCUAACUUUGGGA
Equus caballus (horse) is the source of this 556-nucleotide long non-coding RNA. RefSeq lists it as uncharacterized. NCBI's taxonomy places the organism in Eukaryota, Metazoa, Chordata, Mammalia, Perissodactyla, Equidae. The record is from RefSeq and is a predicted model, not a curated record.